Molecule: unclassified non-coding RNA, 890 nt
Filed under: Hevea brasiliensis (rubber tree)
Lineage: Eukaryota; Viridiplantae; Streptophyta; Magnoliopsida; Malpighiales; Euphorbiaceae
Source: RNAcentral
UUAGAAAGAUAACAGAUGGAAAUAUAUAUAUAUAUAUAACAUAAAUUAUAUUAAUAGUAGUCACCACUGUUUUUUGACAGUUUUAAAAAUCACAAGCCUAAGCAGAAAUCCACCAAAUUGAUAGUAGUUCCAAAAUCAAAACACGAAUUUAUAUUGACAGUAAUGCCAAAAUCAAAUUGACUUGUGUCCAAAAUCAAACCAAUAAUUCACAUAGCAAGUGGGGCCUACCAUUGAAAUAGGUACAUUAUCAGAUCUCAUUACAUAAAGUAUUGGUGGCUCAUUAGAGGGAAUGAAAGCACAACUAAUUCACAUGUUCAACCUACAGGAUGCCAUUAAUUGAUAGAAACCAACAAGAACACCAAAGUUAAUUUAUAUGCUAAAAAAUGACACACAAUAACUAUUAUUUUUUCUACUCAAACCAAAGUCAACCAGAAAAUGGCACAUAAAAGUGAAAAAUUUUCCAAGAUCAUGUCCAUAGAUAUUAUGUGAGGCACAGACAAUCAAAAUACUUUGUAUUUGUGCCAAUACUGCAGCUUAGAAAAUGCAACCAAAAUCCACAUCCCACGAAAUUCCACAACAAAGAAAAGAUCCCAUCACUUGUUUGAGCUCCAAUGUGUAGUUGCUAUGUUCAACCAAAUAUUGUAAUAAAUAUGGAAUUGGAAAACAACAAAAAAUAUCACUAUUUAAGAAAAUCUUUCUGCAGCAUCACUGGUUAAAGGAAAUAAAAUGUCUCCUGGCUACAGAGAAAUGCAUACGAAUAACCCUGUGCAAGGAAGGGGAAAAAACAAUUUCCUUAUUUCAGCAUUUCUCAGGACUAAUAAACAGUGUUAGUGCUCAACUGCAUACUGGAAUACCCAUGCCCAUCUCAACAGCAUGAAGUCAUGUUUUGA